RNAcentral lists this long non-coding RNA (375 nucleotides) under Brassica napus (rape). RNAcentral's name for it is "long non-coding RNA (BNAP_LNC000076)". Lineage: Eukaryota; Viridiplantae; Streptophyta; Magnoliopsida; Brassicales; Brassicaceae. The record is from RNAcentral.
GAAAAGUCUGUAGGGAGUAUACAAUUCGGCUCUUUUAAUCUCGUUACCGGAAGCUCUCCAGUUAACACUAAUGGCGAGUUGAAGAAGGCUCAGGCUGCUGAUGGAGUAGUUAAAUCUCGACCUUCCAGCUCUCAUAAGGAAGAUUCUGCUGUGUCUCAAAAGAGAGUCGAUGCUCCUAGACCUUCCAGCUCUCAUAAGGAAGAUAGAAGUAUUCAAUCUUCUGUGUCUCAAAAGAGAGUCGAUGCUCCUAGACCUUCCAGCUCUCACAAGGAAGAUAGAAGUAUUCAAUCUGCUGCGUCUCAAAAGAGACUCGAUACUUCUAGACCUUCCAGCUCUGACAAAGUUGCAAAACUCCCUGGGAAACACACUUCAGGA